Molecule: long non-coding RNA, 303 nt
Organism: Brassica rapa (field mustard)
Lineage: Eukaryota; Viridiplantae; Streptophyta; Magnoliopsida; Brassicales; Brassicaceae
Source: RefSeq, a predicted model, not a curated record
GAAAAGAAAAACAAGAAAGUACGAGAAGAAGAAGAAGUCAUGUGACCGCACAAGAACCAAAGCUUUUCAAUCUGAAAAAACAUUAAAGGAGUAUGCUUUAUUCGGACGUUAAUCAAAUUCCAAAGAUCAAGUUGAGGUUAGUGAUGCUCGCAUUUGUAUUUCUCUGGAGUCUUGUGUGUUGGGAGUUGUUGUAGGAAUCAAUGGAAAUUCAGCCGAUAUGAAUUAACAUUUCUGGUACAUCGUAACAUGAUGUUCUAACGUUUACACAUACUCUAAUUUUUCAAGAUACUCCUUUUUCAUUUA